Molecule: long non-coding RNA, 1746 nt
Organism: Hevea brasiliensis (rubber tree)
Lineage: Eukaryota; Viridiplantae; Streptophyta; Magnoliopsida; Malpighiales; Euphorbiaceae
Exons: 2
Source: RefSeq, a predicted model, not a curated record
GAUAAAUAGUUUGUGUCAAAAUGAUAAGAUUAGCAAGUUACCAAAAAAUUCGGUGGGUUACGCCUCUAAUAUUUAAAAACAGGGAAUGGCAAAAGAGACAAUUUACAGUGGAAGGCCUCACGAUAAAUGACGGUGAAGUAGGGCUUCACUUCUCAAUGCCUUUGAGAGAACAGAGCGGGCGGAGUCGCCUCCAUUGCUGUUUCUGUUCCGUUGCAGGCAAAUAGAAACGUUUUUAUGAUCCUUUUUGCUAUGUGUAAGCAGACUUUAUGGCUUGCAGUUCGAAGAAAGGUCUUAAUACACUCUUCAAUCUUCAUCCUUCUUUUUUUAUUUUAAUUUUUUAUGCUUUUGAAAUAGUAAGGAAGGCCGAUCCAAAUGGGCUCUUGUUUGAAAUUGGUAAGAUAUGAGAGCUCAAUUUCACCCGGCCAAGAGUUGAUCUUUGGGGCGGCCUCAAGGUUUUACGUGUUCUCUAUCAUGUUUUAAUUCAGGGAGCUGCCCUAAAUUUUUUUUUUUUUUUUUAAUUUCCAUAGCCAAAACUCUUUGAAACUCAUUUGAUGGAGAUUCUAAAGGUUUGGUUGGAUUUUUUUGAUUGGAAAUUUCAUGUUGAUAUUGUGUUCGACAGCAAUUAAGAAUAGCAGAUUUGCAGCCAUUUGAAAUUGCAGAAAAGGGAAAAGGGACAUCUUAUUAGAUUUCAAAAUUUUUAUAUUCUUUUUCUUUAAAUGCAUAUUUUUCUUAUUUAAUAAUUGAAAAAAUAGUUUAUAUUUGCAAAAUUUGAAAAUAUAUAAUCAAUCAAAAAUAUUAUUAAAUUAAAUAUAGAAUAACAUGAGAUUUUCGACAAAACUAUGUAUUGAAUUUAUUCAAAGUUAAUUGUUUUAAGAAUAAAAAGUAGAAUUAAUAAAAAAAAGCUCUUUAUUUAUAUUAAAUAUAAAAUCAAAAUAAAAAUUUAAUAAUAAGUAAAAGGAAAAAAAUUGAGAAAUCAUUUUAAGGAAUUAUUAUGUGUGCAUGGUGCAGCCAUGAUUGAAGGGAGAUUAUAAGGUUGCUUGUUUGUUUUUCUAUUUUCUUUUUUUUCUAAUAUUUUUCUAUUUUCUAUUUACUAGAAGAUUUGAUUUUCAUUAAACUAUAGCAUGGAAAUUAAUAUAAACCGUGGCAUCGUCCAUGAUUCUGAAUUUCUGAUUUCCUUGCAUUUUUUAAUAAGUGUUAAAGCAAUCUCAUUUGAUUUAUAAAACAUUUGUCAUGAAAUUGGGUGAAGAUCUCCCAGCAAACAAUUUGGCCUGUAGUUCAUUGGUAGAAUAAUCUAAAAUUGAGCCAUGUUCUGGCUUAAGAGUUACAAUUGAGCGAGGAGCAUGAGGUGAAAAGAGAAGCGUUUUUGAGAUGCAUCGUUGCCCCAGAGUUGAGUUCUUGGUGUACAAUAAUCAGUGGCAAGGUAAUGCCAAAUCCCCAAGCCUUGUUUCUUCACUAACAGUUCGACCAAGUACAAACAAUGCUGGGUAGAGCCAUCAAAUUCUGGCUUUCUGCCGCCAAAAACCUGCAAAAACUCUUUAUCUAGCUCGUGCUUGCGAUUGUGGACACUUGUUAAGAUCACUGAACCAGUAACAUCUAGUAGUUGAAUAUCUGUUUCUCAUAGUGCAAGAGGUUAUUAAAAAUUUAAGUUUCUGUUUGGAUAACCGUUAAUAGCAGACUUCAACAGUUGAAUUAAACAUGUCCAUUCAAUGUAUAUACUUGCUUUGGUAUAUUUGUGGUUACCUCCAA